GGAGGAGGAUGGGGAGGAUCUGGAGAGGGAGGAGGAGCUGGAGAAGGAGAAGCAGGGAGGAGGAGGAGAGGGGGAAGGUGAGGAAGAGGAGCUGGAGGAGGAGGAAGAGGGGGAGGAGAUGCUGGAGGAGGAGGGGAGGGGGAGAAGGAGGAGUUGGAGGAGGAUGGAAAGGAAGAGAGGGAGGAGGAAAAGCUGGAGAAGGGAGGAGGAGGAGUUGGAGGAGGAGACAAGGGAAGAGGAGGAGGGAGAAGAAGAAGCUGGAAGGGGAGGAGGGGGAGGAGGAAAAGCUGGAGGAUGAGGGGGAGGAGUUGGGGGAGGAGGAAAGGGAGGAGGGGAGGGAGAAGGAGAAGUUGGAGGGGGAAGAGGGGGAGGAGGAAAAGCUGGAGGACGGAGGGAGGAGGAGGGAGAAGAAGGAGGAGCUGGAGGGGGAGGAGGGGGAGGAGGAAAAGUUGGAGGACAGGGGGAGGAGGAGUAGGAGGAGAAGGGGGAAGAAGGAGGAGUUGGAGGGGGAAGAGGGGGAGGAGGAAAAGCUGGAGGACGGGGGGAGGAGGAGUUGGAGGAGGAGGAGAGGGAAGGAGGUUCCCAGAGAGGUGGGUGGCUUUAGGUCACGUGUUCAUCCGAGACCAACUACAACCCAGGACCCCGGGGCCUGUGCAGGUCACUGUGCCUCUUCCAGCCUCGGUAUCCUCUGGAAGCUCUUGGCCCUGUUUUCCUGGGUCCUGUGUGGGCAGGGGCCUUAUGAAUGUACCAUUCAAGUGGAAAAGAUGGGCUCACCACACGAACGCAGCUUCCAGACACCUCCAGCUGUGUCUCCUCAGGACCCCUGCACAGAGGUCUGAGAGCCCUGGCCUGGGCAGAACAUGGCCUCAGUGUGCUCCUGUGGACCCUGGUGGGAGCCCCAGGAGCCGUGGUGAUGGGGUGAGUUGGGCGAAGUUCUUGGCUGUUGCUUGUGGCCCAUCUAUGCCUGCGGUUGGACGCCCUUCAGGGCCAGAGCAGGUGCCUCAGUGUGCAGACACUGCCUGGCUCUCUUUCUACAUUGUCUUCAUCUGGGUUCUGUUGGGACAACAAUCAGGGGGGUCUCGUUCUGUCUGUGGAAUGGGCCUCACCUAGCGAGAAGCCCCAAGGGCCCCCAGGGGAUGGUGAACCUGUGUGUACAAGUGUGUGCGCUCAAGUAAGCUCAUGCGUGUGUGUGUGCUUGUGUGAGUGUGCUUGUGUGAGCUCAUGUGUGUGUGCGCUUGUGUGUGUGUGCAUGAGCUUAUGUGUCAUGUGUGUACGUGUGCUUGUGUGUGUGUGCUUGAGCUUAUGUGUGUGUGAGCUUAUGUAUGUGUGUGCAUGUGGUCAUGUGUGUGUGCGUGAGCUUGUGUGUGUGUGCGUGUUAGCUUACGUGUCAUGUGUGUGCUUAUGUUGUGUGUGUGUGCGUGAGCUUAUGUGUGCGCGUGUGUAUGUGUGUGAGCUUAUGUGUCGUGUGUGCUUGUGUUGUGUGCUGUGUGUGAGCUUUGUGUGUGUGAGCUUGUGUGUGUGUGAGCUGUGUGUGCGUGAGCUUUUGUGUGUGUGCAUGAGCUUUGUGUGUGUGUGCUCAUGUGUAUGUGUGUGAGCUUGUGUGUCGUGUGCGCAUAUGCUUAUGUGUCGUGUGUGUGCUUGUGUCGUGUGUUGUGUAUGUGAGCUUGUGUGUGUGUGUGCUUGUCUGUGUGACCUUAUGUGUUGUCAUGUGUGCUUAUGUGUCAUGUGUGUGUGCCUGAGCUUUGUGUGUGCAUGAGCUUUGUGUGUGAGCUGUGUGUGUGUGUGUGAGCUUUGUGUAUAUGAUGAGCUUGUGUGUGUGAGAGCUUGUGUUUUGGGUGAGCUUAUGUGUCACGUGUCGUGUGUGUGUGCAUGAGCUUUGUGUGUGUGCGCGUGAGCUUGUGUGUGCAUGAGCUUGUGUGUGUGAGCUUAUGUGUGUGUGUGAGAGCUUGUGUGUGUGCAUGAGCUUGUGUCAUGUGUGCGUGAGCUUUGUGUGUGUGGUGUGUGUGAGCUUGUGUGUGUGUGUGUGAGCUUGUGUCUGUGUGUGUGAGCUUGUGUGUGUGUGUGAGCUUUGUGUUUGUGUGAACUUGUAUGUGUGUGAGCUUGUGUGUGUGUGUGGGCUUGUGUGUUUGUGAGUUUGUGUGUGUGUGUGUGUGUGUGAGCUUGUGUGUUUGUGAGCUUGUGUGUGUGUGUGUGUGCAUACACGUGUGUGCAUGUGCACAGCCCCAGAGCCCCACUGCUGGGCACCGUCCCCAGUGAGUACCCCAGCGAGCCGGGUUCCGCGUUCCAUCUGUGGGUGAGGCUAGAGCCAUGGUGCUUGCGUUUCCUGUGGCCCAUCAGGGAUGCUGUUGCCUCCACCACUUUGGAGCCCCCAGGGCUCAACCCUCCUGUUGCCUCUUCUCUUUCCACAGAUUCCUUCCUAUCAGAACAGAAGGCGCGUGCCCGUCGGGCCCCUCUGUUCUUCCUGAGGAAUGGAAGUCGUCCCCAGACUGCCUCCCUCCUUCUUUUUGAAAGUCCGGACACGAUGUGUCUAAGUCAGGCAUGCCAUGCCUGGGGGUCUGGCCCUGAAAUGGCCAGGCAGGUGGUCUUUGGGUCAGUGACACUCUGGCUUUGAAAUCUCCCCCAGAUGCACUUGGAACAAGGGGCUCAUGGGAAGACCCCCCAGAUCUGGGGGAGCCAGCUCCACACCUCUCUCUGGGUGGCUGAUAUUUCAAAACUUGUAGCUCUCCAGACGGUGGCUGGGGAGCCUCUCCGCGGUGGGGGCGCGCACCCUCCCUUGGCAGCUUUGCCUGAGCUAGGGAGGCUCCCUGGUGUCUGAGGCUCUGAGAGCCGGGUCCACUGUUGGAGCCAAUGCUUUCUCCUGACUGUCCCAUGUCCAUGCACACGUCCAUGCACUUACGGUGGUCCUUAGGGUGAGGCAGGAGGAGGCUUCAUGGAAUUAGACAUUUCCACAGUGUCUGCAUAAGUUGAGGGUGGCGCUCUCGCUGUUCGGGGCCUCCCGACUCUCCCCCUGAAGCCGGUUGGCCUGAAAUGCAGACUUGAUGACCUGGAGCCAGCCCCUGGCCUCUGAGAAGCUGAGCUGCUGCUGUGUUGGCCUUUCCUCCAUUGGGCGCUGAAAUCCACAACUCUCACCAGCCAGCUGGGGACUGGGGGUGGAACAGCGUCCAGGUGUCUGGGAAGGACUCUAGGGCUCUGACUGAUGGACUGAGGGUGCAGCCCUCCCAGCAGUUCCUGUCCACCCUGUCUCAGCGUGGGCUGACCCGGAGGUCUGGGAUGUGACGGGCUUGAAAAAUGAUGUGGUGAUCUUGCCUGGAGGGUGUUCAUGAGAGACGCAUGCUAAGUCGUGGCGGGUGGGGGGUUACUUACAGAAGACAGUGCUGUAUGAUCCUAAUUAUGCACAAGACGGCACAGCGGUCAAGACUGUGGGCACUGGAGCCUGCUGCCAGGGUUCAAGUCCAGCUCUGUCACUUUCCAGAUGACCUUGACCUUGGACAUGCUGCCAAACAGCCCUGCACUUCAGUGCCCUCAGCUGCCAGAUGGGAUGAUGCUCACACCUGUCACUCAGGGGUAUUGCGCAGAUUAAAUGAGUCAAUACGUGGAACAGACUUAGAUCACCAGCCCUACGUAAGUGACCACGGACACAAAUGUCUACAGUUUCUGAUGAUUUUAAUGGUCUUCAUUUUGUUUAUCUGCAUGUUUGAAUGUUCCUGCAACAAAUACGAAUGACUGGAGUAAUUUUGAAAAAGGUAGACAUUGCUUUGAACAAACUUAGAAUCAUCAUUGACCCACGUGUUGCUUGUGGGGUAAAAAAAAAAGUAAAAAUAAAAAUAAGAAACAUCUGAAAGCUUUCAACCCACCACACGCUGGCGGGGUAGCAGCUGAUUGCAGUGCUGAGGUGUUGGAGGGGAGACGGAGUCAGUGGGGCUGGUCCUGGCUCCCUAGGGCUCUGUCAGGUGGGGGAGACACCUGUAGAGGUGGGAUGCUCCCCAAGGUGAGGGCUGAGUGGAGGGAGGGCUCAGAAGAGGGCAACUUGAAGGGGCUAGUGAGGGGCUGUAGAGGUGGUGGACUUUGAGCCAGGUCUUGGAGGACGGGUAAGAUUUCGACAGGCAGGGAGCAGAGGCGCACACAAAGGUGUCCAGGUGCAGGGA
RNAcentral lists this long non-coding RNA (4145 nucleotides) under Macaca mulatta (Rhesus monkey). Its description in RNAcentral is "lncRNA (ENSMMUG00000063128.1)". The record is from RNAcentral. Lineage: Eukaryota; Metazoa; Chordata; Mammalia; Primates; Cercopithecidae.